RNAcentral lists this ribosomal RNA (468 nucleotides) under uncultured bacterium. Its description in RNAcentral is "partial 16S ribosomal RNA". It matches the Rfam family "Bacterial small subunit ribosomal RNA", at positions 28 to 507 of the family's 1533-position model. The record is from RNAcentral.
GACGAACGCUGGCGGCGUGCUUAACACAUGCAAGUCGAACGGAAAGGCCCUGCUUUUGUGGGGUGCUCGAGUGGCGAACGGGUGAGUAACACGUGAGUGACCUGCCCUUGACUUUGGGAUAACUUCAGGAAACUGGGGCUAAUACCGGAUAGGAGCUCCUGCUGCAUGGUGGGGGUUGGAAAGUUUCGGCGGUUGGGGAUGGACUCGCGGCUUAUCAGCUUGUUGGUGGGGUAGUGGCUUACCAAGGCUUUGACGGGUAGCCGGCCUGAGAGGGUGACCGGCCACAUUGGGACUGAGAUACGGACCAGACUCCUACGGGAGGCAGCAGUGGGGAAUAUUGCACAAUGGGCGGAAGCCUGAUGCAGCAACGCCGCGUGCGGGAUAACGGCCUUCGGGUUGUAAACCGCUUUCGCCUGUGACGAAGCGUGAGUGACGGUAAUGGGUAAAGAAGCACCGGCUAACUACGUG